This 253-nucleotide ribosomal RNA is filed under the name uncultured bacterium. RNAcentral's name for it is "partial 16S ribosomal RNA". It matches the Rfam family "Bacterial small subunit ribosomal RNA", at positions 524 to 776 of the family's 1533-position model. The record is from RNAcentral.
UACGGGGGGUGCAAGCGUUGUUCGGAAUCAUUGGGCGUAAAGGGCGUGUAGGCGGCCAGACAAGUCAGAUGUGAAAGCCCUGGGCUUAACCCAGGAAGUGCAUUUGAAACUGUUUGGCUGGAGUAGGGGAGAGGAAAGUGGAAUUCCUGGUGUAGAGGUGAAAUUCGUAGAUAUCAGGAGGAACACCGGUGGCGAAGGCGACUUUCUGGCCCUAUACUGACGCUGAGACGCGAAAGCGUGGGUAGCAAACAGG